GUCUCGUACGAUCACGGAAGUUAAACAACGACGAGCCUAGUCAGUAAUUAAAUGGGUGACCGCUUUGGAAUACCAGGUGCUGUAA
Molecule: non-coding RNA, 85 nt
Organism: Acanthosepion pharaonis
Lineage: Eukaryota; Metazoa; Mollusca; Cephalopoda; Sepiida; Sepiidae
Source: the annotation of a GenBank genome assembly